UACGUAGGGUGCAAGCGUUUGUCCGGAAUUAUUGGGCGUAAAGAGCUCGUAGGCGGUCUGUUGCGUCGGCUGUGAAAACCCGGGGCUCAACCCCCGGGCCUGCAUUCGAUACGGGCAGACUAGAGUUCGGUAGGGGAGACUGGAAUUCCUGGUGUAGCGGUGAAAUGCGCAGAUAUCAGGAGGAACACCGGUGGCGAAGGCGGGUCUCUGGGCCGAAAUUGACGCUGAGGAGCGAAAGCGUGGGGAGCAAACAGG
This 255-nucleotide ribosomal RNA is filed under the name uncultured bacterium. RNAcentral describes it as "partial 16S ribosomal RNA". It matches the Rfam family "Bacterial small subunit ribosomal RNA", at positions 524 to 776 of the family's 1533-position model. The record is from RNAcentral.